UUAACUCAGAUUAUCAGUAAUCACAAUAAUUGAGAAAGAUGAAUUUUCUUAAACAAGCAAUACAUCAUUUAUCAUAAUUUAAUUUUCACAUGCAACUCAAAUUGAACUUGAUUAAUCGAAUGAUCAAUCUAAAAACAAGAGUUCAUACAAUAAUAAUCGCACAAGAGAAUAUUCAAAUGACUAGAUCUAUCUCAUACCUAAACUUUAAUCAUG
Molecule: long non-coding RNA, 213 nt
Filed under: Lathyrus oleraceus (garden pea)
Lineage: Eukaryota; Viridiplantae; Streptophyta; Magnoliopsida; Fabales; Fabaceae
Description: Pisum sativum (pea) long non-coding RNA (PSAT_LNC022218)
Source: RNAcentral